UUAGUGGCGAACGGGUGAGUAACACGUGAGUAACCUGCCCCUUACUUUCUGGAUAACUGCUCGAAAGGGUAGCUAAUACGGGAUAUUCUGGCCUUCCUGCAUGGGUUGGUUUGGAAAGGUUUUUUCUGGUGAGGGAUGGGCUCGCGGCCUAUCAGCUUGUUGGUGGGGUGAUGGCCUACCAAGGCUUUGACGGGUAGCCGGCCUGAGAGGGUGGACGGUCACACUGGGACUGAGAUACGGCCCAGACUCC
This 250-nucleotide ribosomal RNA is filed under the name uncultured Actinomycetaceae bacterium. RNAcentral's name for it is "partial 16S ribosomal RNA". It matches the Rfam family "Bacterial small subunit ribosomal RNA", at positions 92 to 339 of the family's 1533-position model. The record is from RNAcentral. Lineage: Bacteria; Bacillati; Actinomycetota; Actinomycetes; Actinomycetales; Actinomycetaceae.